This 844-nucleotide long non-coding RNA is filed under the name Phascolarctos cinereus (koala). RNAcentral describes it as "lncRNA (ENSPCIG00000037177.1)". Lineage: Eukaryota; Metazoa; Chordata; Mammalia; Diprotodontia; Phascolarctidae. The record is from RNAcentral.
GACUGUCUGUCGUCCUUGUUUUUCGGCUUGUGGUGGGGCCUCCAGUUUCUCGGGUGUUCGAACAGCCUCGGUUCUAAGACGGAGUCCCUCCGCUUUCCCUUUGCCGCCAAACCCAUCCUGUCAUCCAGUUUGUGCCAGCAGGCCCGACCAGAGCGCGCAGCUUUCUUUGCCCCUUGCGCAUGCGCAUUGAAUCGGCUGUGGUUCCCAUCUCACUCUCGGAAGCACGUGCUCACGGGAGCCAACCCGGGGACUAGUCCCUGCGGUCCGCCACCAUCCCGGAGUGCACCGCGGCGGCGGACGGAGCGCAGUCGGCGGCCAUGUUGGGAUAGUUUGUUGUUUUCUUCCUGCGGAGGAGAAGGGGCCGGUGUGGACAACGAACCGCCCCGGCCUCUCCUCUCUCCUCCCCCUCCCACCCUGCCCCGGUCCUCGGGUCGUCCCUUCCCCACCUAUCACCCUCCCCUCGGCCUGGGAUCAGGCCUGUUCUCCCCGCCAGCUGGUUUGGUGGGGGCGAGGCCGAGAGCCGAGCUCGGGAGUCACCAUGGCGGCUUCCCUGGGUGCGGGCGGAGGAGCGGGAACCGGAGCCGGAGCUUUUUGGUGUUACGAAAUACAAGAAAGUAUAGAACUUGAUUGUGUCUUGUCCCAAGUUCACUCUACAUUAUUGACAAGCCCAAGGUAUUUUUUCCUAUUCCUUGUUCAGACUCCUAUGUUAGAUAGACUAACCUGAGGCCCCCCUCAGGGAAGGGUGUCUGCUCCUAGUCUUCCUACAUAAAAUCUGCACUUUGUUUUAUUUUCCAAGCAGUAUAGAUUUUAAAUUUCCUAUUAUGUUUGCUUUUAGUGAAUACAC